Non-coding RNA from Anolis carolinensis (green anole), 2465 nucleotides. NCBI's taxonomy places the organism in Eukaryota, Metazoa, Chordata, Lepidosauria, Squamata, Anolidae. The record is from the annotation of a RefSeq genome assembly.
GGCCUCUGCCUGGGGUUCUGGAGGGAUAUGUUCUCCACCCCACUUUUCUCCUCCCUUUUGCCCUUCAGACAUGAAGACAUCUUUCAUGACUAGGCUUCCAAGAUCUCUGUUCCUCAAAGUGAGGGAGUGAGACCAAAGGCUCAAGGUGGCACACCUAUCACUCAACCACAGUCCCAUGCUACAUCUCACAGGGUUUUCUUGGCAAGGUUUAAGUAGAGGUGAUGUGCUUUCCCCAUUCUCCCAGUUGAAUCCUGGUCUCCUGGGGUCCCAGUCCAACACUUAAACCACUACUCCCCCCCCCCCCCCACACACACACACCCAGCUCACAAGCAUUAUUAUAUUUCUGCUGAAAAGUCAAGUUGUGUCAUGACAACUUUAUUGAUAUCCCGUCCCAUCUUCACUUGAGGACUCACAACAUAGAUGGCAGCCAUUUGUUGCCACGCAAAUAGCAUGCCUUCCAGUUUUUGUCCCUGGAAACCUUCUGCCUGCUACUUGAAGCUCUUCUCCUGCCUCUAUUGUACUACUUUUAUGUACUUUCACUAUCUUCAACAACCCAGGAGAGUUCCCAAACAUGAUGAUAUGCUAAGACGCAAGAGCUAUGCUCUCAAGAACAUGAUAUGAAUGCUACCAACUAUCAGACUUAAAAGCUUAGAAAUGACAGUACCCAAAAUGAAAAGAAAAUGGCAAAGGAAGAGGAAAUGCCAAAGGAAAAAAAAUCUUCAGGGAUCGGUCCUUCACGUGAUUUCCACAAACUGGUGGUAUUGGGUGCUUGAUGACCAGUGGCUUCUCUGGAGGUCCCUGAGUUCUGUGGUCAGAAUCAUGUUGGCACCUUAUGGUUUGGAGAUGUUCAUCCAACCUUGGUGUUCAGUCCAAGAACGACUUCUUCCUCUCUGAUGCAAAACAUUAUCUUUGUAGAAGUAUGAGUGAUGACUGUUGGCGUAGAAGGCAUGCCCCAUAAUGCUCUGUAGGGACAGGAAGUGCAAAUAAGGUCCAUGGCCGACGCCUUAAUUUGCAUGAAGGAUGGACCAUUUCAACAGCCCAGAGUGAUUUAAGAAAGGCAGUUCUCCAGUUCUGACACAAAGUCGAAACUCUUGAAACACUCCACCAUGGCCUGGGCUUUGCUUCUCCUGGUUUCACUCACAUUCUGCUUGGGUGUCAGUUCUCAGAUCGUGCCCAUCCAGCCAGCUUCCCAGUCAGUAUCCUUGGGGCAAACAGUCAAACUCUCCUGCACUUUCAGCGAUAGCUCAUCAUUCAAGAUCGCGUGGUUCCAGCAAAGACCUGUAUUGGGCCCUCGCUUUGUGCAGUAUACUGGAAGCAGUCGAGGAGAAGGGAUCCCGGAUCGGUUCACGGCUUCCCAGUCUGGGAACACUGGCUACUUAACUAUCACCAACACCCAGGCUGAAGAUGAGGCUGAGUAUUAUUGUGGCAGGUGGAACAACGCUGGUAUCCUUCUGCACAGUGAUCAAAUCUUAUGGGGAAGUGGGAGAAAAACCUUCCAAUGAGAGGUGAACAGAAGAUGUCUAAGAAGAACCUUAGAUGCUUGGAAGAGGCCAAAGGACUGGAAGCUGAGUCCCAAAUAGAGUCUGACUUCUGGCCAAGAAGAACGUCCUGGGAGCAAGAUCUGCUUGACAGUGGAAUCAACUACUUUGGAAGAUGCUCUUCUUCUUUGGGACCUUCCAAACAGAAGAUAGUUGCCCACUUCUUGGGGACCAAUUCCUGAAUUGGCACAGUUCCUCAAGGAAUUUAUGCAUGGUCCUCAUGCAUGGUCAAGAACAUCCUUGCUGAUACAUCCAUCCAGUCCAGACUCAAACUCCUGUAGGCAGAGAUCAAAGUCCUCCAAAAGAGGGUCCUUGUUGAUUGAUGGGCUGGUUUUGAGGGACAUGUCCACUUGGUAUGAUGCCAUGUCCAUUUUUGGUGCCACGGGAUAAGAGAGUGGCUUCAUGCCCACAUGUCCAAUUUGUACUGUGUUGAACAACGGGCAUGGCUAUUUUCAGAGUUUCCUAUUUGUACUUAUUCUUCUAGAGAGAAUAGAGACUGGGUGCCAAUGUUCAUGUUCUCCAUCCUUCCACUGUCACAAGAGGGCACCAGAGGCUGGUUCAUUGAAAAGGGACAAAGGACAUUUCUAGGCUCUGUUGAAAUUCAUGAGAGGUGCAUCUGCAAUGUGGAGUGAAUGUAGUUUAAUACCACUUGGAUCAAUGCUGUGGAAUCAUGGGAGAUGUAGCUUGAUGAGUCCUCACCUCAGAGAAGGAGAAAGAUCUUAUGAAGCAACAUCCCCCAGGAGCGCAUAGCCUGAAGCUGUGAUGGUUCAAGUGGUCUCGAAAUGGCAUUCAAUCUAUAGUGUCAAUGUUGUUUGAAUUGUAUUUAUGGAGUGAGGCAAAGUUGGUCUCGAGAAGAAGGGGCUUUCAUAUGAGACAGUGUCUCCACUGGGAUCCUAUGGGUGUCUUAUACUUUCCUUGUAGAUAUAG